This 210-nucleotide ribosomal RNA is filed under the name uncultured bacterium. Its description in RNAcentral is "partial 16S ribosomal RNA". It matches the Rfam family "Bacterial small subunit ribosomal RNA", at positions 524 to 733 of the family's 1533-position model. The record is from RNAcentral.
UACGUAGGGUGCGAGCGUUAAUCGGAAUUACUGGGCGUAAAGCGUGCGCAGGCGGUUUUGUAAGCCAGAUGUGAAAUCCCCGGGCUUAACCUGGGAAUGGCAUUUGGGACUGCAAGGCUGGAGUGCGGCAGAGGAGACUGGAAUUCCUGGUGUAGCAGUGAAAUGCGUAGAUAUCAGGAGGAAUACCGAUGGCGAGGGCAGGUCUCGUGG